GAAGAAAGGAAACUUACCAUUUCCUCUUGAUAGUGGCUUUAUGGGAAUGAGAAUUUAAAAAGGGGAUUAAGAAGAGAUUAGGCCAUUUGGCCGUGACCUAGAGAGGAGAUAGAGAGAGAGAGGAGGCGAGCUAGAGAGAGAGAAAGCAAGGGCUGCAAUAUUUUCUAGAGAAGAAGAAGAAGAAAAGAAAGAGAAGGAGAAGAAGAAGAGGGUUUCGAACCCUAGGUGACAAGAGGUUUUCUUGCUAUUGUGUUCUUGAUUUUACAAUCAAGAGAGGCUCGUUGAACGAUUGUGAAAUUCUUAGCUUGGACCUGAGGUAGCAAAUAGGAUUUCUUUAUGGCACGCGUGGUGACGUGAGGAGUUCUAUCAUCAUGGGGUGUAUGGCAUGGGGUAAUCCGAUGGACGGAACAACAAUCAACGUAGAACGCCAUUUAAAUUAUGUUUUGUUUUUAAGAGACUUUCCUAAAUUAUCAGUGGGACUCAGUUAUUUAAUUUUUGGUUUCUUUGAACUUUGCAUAAAAAUCUAUGUUUUAUUUUAAAACUUAUGGCGCCAACUUGCAUGGUUUUAAACAAGUCCCCCUGAGACUUUGAUAAUGAAUGGUAUUCUUUUAUAAACUA
Long non-coding RNA from Humulus lupulus (European hop), 618 nucleotides. RefSeq lists it as uncharacterized. Lineage: Eukaryota; Viridiplantae; Streptophyta; Magnoliopsida; Rosales; Cannabaceae. The record is from RefSeq and is a predicted model, not a curated record. The transcript is spliced from 4 exons.